Molecule: long non-coding RNA, 882 nt
Organism: Spinacia oleracea (spinach)
Lineage: Eukaryota; Viridiplantae; Streptophyta; Magnoliopsida; Caryophyllales; Amaranthaceae
Exons: 4
Source: RefSeq, a predicted model, not a curated record
CCUAAUUCUAGCCCAUUUUGCAAAGCCCAAACCAUAAAAACCCAAAACAAUUCUUCCUCCCCUUACUCUACUUCACGUAAAAUUAAGCAAGCCAAAACCCACAUCUCCCUCCUUCAAUCUCACGUAAACAGCAAACCCCAAGAACCCCUUCCUCACUGCCGACUUGCCCAGUCGCCGGACCUCCACCGCUGGUAAGCCCUCUCAUUCCCUUCUCCGUCGUUCCCCUUUUCUUUUCUUUCUUCUUUCUCUUCUCCCUCUGUUUCGUUCUUUCCCCUCAACCAUUGCUUUCGGCUUUCGCACAACACCACUGUAAGCACCACCUUCGCCGCACCACUUAGCGCAGCCGCCCACGAACCUCGACCACCGCCGUGCACGCCCGAGCCACGCAACCACCGCCCUUGCGGCCACCCGCCGCCGUGCCCUGUCCGCCGGCCAAUCCUUUUCUCUCCCUCUUUACUUGGCGGAGAAUUCUCUUUAGGUGACUUUUGAAAGUGUUAAAGUGGCCUAUCAGUUUGUUUACACAAGUCUCUAAGGAUCAAUAAGCAUUGUCCAUCUACAGGUUUGAAGAUGAUGCAUCAUUGGGAUCGGGAUUAAAGAGCUUGUAUUUAGUUUGUGUUGCUAUGUGCUUUGGGUUUUGUUAAUUUGGACUUUAAACAUGUCGUACUAAUUACAUUUCCUUAUUUUCGUUGAUUGGUUUUGAGGUUAAAUCUGUAAUCGAUUAUUUAUAAACCUAAAGUUAGUUUUAUGUUUUCCGCUGCAAAAUUCUGAAUAAGCCGUUACGUUUUCACACGGGCGAUAAUACUUUGGUAAUUCUCCAUAGUUAUAUUUAUAAAAAGGGUUAUUUUAGAAAAAAGGAGAAUUGUCGGGGUGUUACAAAGUGGU